AUGCAACCGCUGUUACAGGGGACUUUCUCAGUGUCCGCGUUGAUCACCGACCUUUGCUGCAACUCGUCUUGGCUAUUGACAGGGGUCUACGGCCCACAAUCUGACGAGGACAAACUCAACUUCUUGAAUGAGAUCAGGCACAUCAAAGCCUUGGCUCCGUCCGAAUGGGUUGUACUUGGAGACUUUAACCUUAUUAGCCGUGCAUCCGAGAAGAGCAACAUCAAUAUCAACCUUCGUAUGAUCCGUGCCUUUCGUGCCGCCAUUGAUGAUCUGCAUUUAAAGGAGUUGCCUCUGAUCAGACGCCGCUUCACCUGGUCAAAUGAAAGGCUGAAUUCUACCCUAACCAAGAUAGACAAAGUGUUGUUCACUGAGGAGUGGGAAUCAAGAUACCCUGACUUCCAGCUACUGCCGGGAUCCACUGACAUCUCUGACCAUUGCCCUCUGAUCAUGAAGAAGAUUCAAGCGCGUCACUUCUCUGGAUUCCGGUUCGAGGCUUGGUGGCCAAAUGAGGAUGGCUUCAGUGAGGUUGUCUCCCAGGCAUGGUCCAAGAACCUGCAUACCAAUGAUUGCAUUCGGAAGCUGCACAUCAAGCUUACUAGAACAGCCAAAGCCCUCAAAAAGUGGAGUAAAAACCUGAUCAAAGAGAGAAGAUUUUGUUCUGCAGUUGCCUCCGAGGUCAUAUUGCAGCUUGACCUCGCGAUGGAGAACCGGUCCCUAACACAACAGGAGCUUGACUUACGUGCGUUGCUAAAGGGGAGGUUGCUUGCCAUUGCUGCUAUUCAAAAAAUAAGAUGA
RNAcentral lists this ribosomal RNA (795 nucleotides) under Triticum aestivum (bread wheat). Its description in RNAcentral is "partial small subunit ribosomal RNA". The record is from RNAcentral. Lineage: Eukaryota; Viridiplantae; Streptophyta; Magnoliopsida; Poales; Poaceae.